UUCACGAUUUUUUUCAGAUUUUUUUGUGGAGACCAUCAUUGGGGCUCGCUCUUACGCAACUCUCUUGCUCUUGCGCACGGCGAUGUUCAGAUCAGAGACGCCGGAGAAAAAAAUAUAUUAUUGGGUUCUCUUCGUCACAGAACAUUUUCAGGUUUCAAACGGAGACAAAUCGGUCCUUGAACUUGUUUUCGCCUUUUCUCACUGAUGAUGCUCCUGGUGUUAGCCAUAGUCCGAUCAAGGCGCUGAGGAAAGUGUCGCGAUCGCCGUAUAAGGCAUUCAAUGGCAAAUCAAUUUGUGAGAGAGGAGGAAGAAGAAGAAAUGGAAAGAAAGAGCAGAGUUCGAUACAACCCAUCGCAGGCCAGAAGCAAUGUCAACGGCUGUGGAAUUAACCGUGGUUCAGCGGAAAUGGCUUCUAGGUUUGGUGGGUGGGACGAGUUAGACAGGCAUUACGGAAACAACAGAACAGUGCAGAGAAAGCUAUUGAAGCUUUCAAUCUUUCAGAGAUCUUUGUUCUAUACAAGCUCAAGAAUCACUCGACAAUCGUCAUCCAUCUCUUCAAUGUAUACAAAUCUCACAUCGACAUCAUUCUCCUGUUUGGCUAGCUAUUGUUCUUAAGAUUGUAAAUUUGACAAAAUUGGGAUCCAAACUCUGAGAAGAAAUGUGGGAGAACAGAAGAGCAAGUUGAGCUGUUGAAGCAAAAGCUUCAGAUGAUAUAUCAAGGAGAAGCAUUCAAUGGCAAGCCAACAAAGACAGCAAGAUCUCAUGGGAAGAAAUUCCAGGUCAUGGUCGAGAAGGAAACCUCUAAGAUCUUGGUACGUAUGAGAGAUCAAUCGGCUUGUUGGUGAUACUCUGUGUUUGGAUUGAUGCUUUUAAUACUGAAUAUAAACUUUUUUGUUUAGAACAAAUAUAGCUUACUUCUUGUAAACUGUUUUUUCUUUUCUUAAGAACCUUUAAUGGAGUUCACCAUUGGAGGAACAAAAAA
Molecule: long non-coding RNA, 982 nt
Organism: Eutrema salsugineum
Lineage: Eukaryota; Viridiplantae; Streptophyta; Magnoliopsida; Brassicales; Brassicaceae
Exons: 2
Source: RefSeq, a predicted model, not a curated record